AAGAAGGAUUUGGUGACUGCUACUGAAGUUGAUGAAUCUGACUGAAAUUUCUGUUCUGGGUUGCGUGUUACAGGGGUUGCUAGAGGAGCUUUUGUGGUCAGUCUCAGAUGGAAUGGAAUCCUUCACUCUUUGUAACUUCUGGAUUUCAAAAUCCUAAAUUUUUUUUGUUGGAUUUUCGGAAUUUAAAGGGCACUGAACAAAUCUGGCCAACUUCAAGGGAAAGGAGUGGGACAGGGAUAUUCACAUGUUGAUUCAUUUGACUGUUUCAUUUCUGAAACACUAAUGUAGACUUGGAACUGACCUUUAAUUUGAAA
This 314-nucleotide long non-coding RNA is filed under the name Chrysolophus pictus (golden pheasant). RNAcentral's name for it is "lncRNA (ENSCPIG00010001285.1)". The record is from RNAcentral. Lineage: Eukaryota; Metazoa; Chordata; Aves; Galliformes; Phasianidae.